RNAcentral lists this ribosomal RNA (305 nucleotides) under uncultured bacterium. RNAcentral describes it as "bacterial SSU rRNA". It matches the Rfam family "Bacterial small subunit ribosomal RNA", at positions 336 to 638 of the family's 1533-position model. The record is from RNAcentral.
UUCCUACGGGGGGCAGCAGUGAGGAAUAUUGGUCAAUGGGCGCGAGCCUGAACCAGCCAAGUCGCGUGAGGGAUGGCGGUCCUACGGAUUGUAAACCUCUUUUGCCGGGGAGCAAGCGUGCGUUCGUGAACGCGCGUCGAGAGUACCCGGAGAAAAAGCAUCGGCUAACUCCGUGCCAGCAGCCGCGGUAAUACGGAGGAUGCGAGCGUUAUCCGGAUUUAUUGGGUUUAAAGGGUGCGUAGGCGGAAUGCCAAGUCAGCGGUAAAAUCGCGGGGCUCAACCUCGCUCCGCCGUUGAAACUGGCG